Molecule: ribosomal RNA, 573 nt
Filed under: uncultured bacterium
Lineage: Bacteria
Description: bacterial SSU rRNA
Rfam family: Bacterial small subunit ribosomal RNA
Source: RNAcentral
CUUGUCCACUCCAGGGGGACAACAGUUGGAAACAGCUGCUAAUACCCCAUAAGCCUAAGGGUUAAAGGAGCAAUCCGGGAGAGGAGAGACUCGCGUCCUAUCAGCUAGUAGGUGAGAUAAUGGCUCACCUACGCUAAGACGGGUAACCGGACUGAGAGGUCGAACGGUCACACUGGAACUGAGACACGGUCCAGACUCCUACGGGAGGCAGCAGUGGGGAAUCUUGGGCAAUGGGGGCAACCCUGACCCAGCGACGCCGCGUGGGUGAAGAAAUUCUUCGGAAUGUACAGCCCUGUUGUAUGGGAAGAUAAUGACGGUACCAUACCAGAAAGCCCCGGCAAACUACGUGCCAGCAGCCGCGGUAAUACGUAGGGGGCAAGCGUUGUCCGGAAUGACUGGGCGUAAAGCGCACGCAGGCGGAAUUGUAAGUCCGUUGUAAAAUGCAAAGGCUCAACCUUUGUUUGUCGACGGAUACUGCAAAUCUAGAGUAUGUGAGAGGGAAGUGGAAUUCCAGGUGUACCGGUGAAAUGCGUACAUAUCUGGAGGAACACCAGUGGCGAUGGCGACUUCCUG